UGGGUUCUUGCCGAGUUUACAAGGGGUUUUUGUGGGGGUGUUUCAAUUCUCCCAACCCAUUGUGAACCGUUACCAAACUGUUGCCUCGGCGGGAUCUCUGGCCCCGGGUGCGUCGCAGCCAAAACUCUUAUUGUAUACCCCCUCGCGGGUUUUUUUAUAAUCUGAGCCUUCUCGGCGCCUCUCGUAGGCGUUUCGAAAAUGAAUCAAAACUUUCAACACCCCCGGACCAAGGCGCCCGCCGGAGGCACAAACGGAUCUCUUGGUUCUGGCAUCGAUGAAGAACGCAGCGAAAUGCGAUAAGUAAUGUGAAUUGCAAAAUUCAGUGAAUCAUCUAAUCUUUGAACGCACAUUGCGCCCGCCAGUAUUCUGGCGGGCAUGCCUGUCCGAGCGUCAUUUCAACCCUCGAACCCCUCCGGGGGGUCGGCGUUGGGGAUCGGCCCUGCCUUGGCGGUGGCCGUCUCCGAAAUACAGUGGCGGUCUCGCCGCAGCCUCUCCUGCGCAGUAGUUUGCACACUCGCAUCGGGAGCGCGGCGCGUCCACAGCCGAUAAACACCCAACUUCUGAAAUGUUGACCUCGGAUCAGGUAUGAAUACCCCUGGAAAC
Molecule: ribosomal RNA, 603 nt
Filed under: Trichoderma harzianum
Lineage: Eukaryota; Fungi; Ascomycota; Sordariomycetes; Hypocreales; Hypocreaceae
Description: eukaryotic LSU rRNA
Rfam family: 5.8S ribosomal RNA (bases 242-393)
Source: RNAcentral